UUUGGAGAAUGGGGGAAACCCUGAUCCAGCUAUCCCGCGUGUAUGAUGAUGGUCUUCGGGCUGUACAGUACUUUUGUCACAGAAGAAAUGGUAUCCCCUAAUACGGGAUACUGGUGACGGUAUCUGCAGAAUAAGCACCGGUUAACUACUUUCCAGCAGCAGCGGUAAUACGUAGGGUGCAAGCGUUAAUCGGAUUACCGGGCGUAAAGCGUGUGUAGGCGGUUCGGAAAGAAAGAUGUUAAAUCCCAAGGCUCAACCUUGGAACUGCAUUUUUAACUGCCGAGCUAGAGUAUGUCAGAGGGGGGUAGAAUUCCACGUGUAGCAGUGAAAUGCGUAGAUAUGUGGAGGAAUACCGAUGGCGAAGGCAGCCCCCUGGGAUAAUACUGACGCUCAGACACGAAAGCGUGGGGAGCAAACAGG
This 420-nucleotide ribosomal RNA is filed under the name uncultured bacterium. RNAcentral describes it as "partial 16S ribosomal RNA". It matches the Rfam family "Bacterial small subunit ribosomal RNA", at positions 363 to 776 of the family's 1533-position model. The record is from RNAcentral.